Molecule: ribosomal RNA, 460 nt
Filed under: uncultured bacterium
Lineage: Bacteria
Description: partial 16S ribosomal RNA
Rfam family: Bacterial small subunit ribosomal RNA
Source: RNAcentral
CCUACGGGUGGCAGCAGUGAGGAAUAUUGGUCAAUGGGCGCGAGCCUGAACCAGCCAAGUAGCGUGAAGGAUGACUGCCCUACGGGUUGUAAACUGCUUUUAUAAAGGAAUAAAGUGAGGCCCGUGUGCCUUUUUGUAUGUACUUUAUGAAUAAGGAUCGGCUAACUCCGUGCCAGCAGCCGCGGUAAUACGGAGGGUCCGAGCGUUAUCCGGAUUUAUUGGGUUUAAAGGGAGCGUAGAUGGCUUGUUAAGUGUGCUGUGAAAGGUCUGGGCUCAACCCGGGCCUUGCAACGCGAACUGGCGUGCUUGAGUCCGCGGAAAGCAGGCGGAAUUCGUCGUGUAGCGGUGAAAUGCUUAGAUAUGACGAAGAACCCCGAUUGCGAAGGCAGCUUGCUGCAGCGGAACUGACGCUGAUGCUCGAAAGCGCGGGUAUCGAACAGGAUUAGAUACCCCGGUAGUC